GUUUGCACUACAUCCCAGAAUUUGUGCUUGUCUGUGAUAUUCAAGCAGUACGAUGGUGCUGUUUACCUUCUAGACAUUGCAGAACGCAAGACAGGGUUAUACCAUUUCUCCAGUUUUUCCACCGAGGUAAAAGUUUGUAACCGCCUGAGCCUACGCUGCAAUAAAUGAUGUGACAAUGACAGUAAGAUGAGAUUAAGAAUCAUUAGGGCACUUGUGUUCACUACCAGAAGUAUGAGGCUUGGUUGUUCGGCCAUCGUUAUUUGGCUUUUCUACUGUGAACAGAAACAUGGAACUUUUUUCAAGAGAAGUAUUUCAGUGAUGGCAUUUUGGCUCUUUGGUAGUCAGGGACUCCAGUGCUUGCUAUCUUCAUGUUCUUUCUAGAGUCACCUCCAAGUUUAAGGCCAUCCACCUCAUGUUUCCAAGACAGCUGCUGGAGUGCCAGCCUUUAGACACAAGGCCAGACGAGCAUAAGUAGGAAGUUAAAGGGGCAAAUCUCCAACUGAGUCAACUUUCUGAAAAGAUAGGUAAUGUCCCAUGCUACCCUUUCACUAAUAUUAACCAGAACUUACUUAAAUGGUCACAUCUCAUGCUGCCUUGCAGGCUGGUAAAUGUAGGCUUUCAGCUGGCUACUUGGAAUAAAACUGGAAUUCUGAGAAGAACGGGGAGAAUGCCUUAGGUAAACAACUAGAAGUCUAGACUCCACCACCUGUGGAAAACUGCCAAUGUAUUAAGAGUCGAAAAUACUCAUCAUUUCACUGUGUGAAUGACAGGGUUAUAUUCACUCGAGUAUACUAUCUAUAUACAAUACUGGGAACUCCUGGGUGUUUGAAAAGUGGGGGUAUUUUUUUUCCUUCUCACUGCCCCAGAUGUGGUUAUGUGCUCCUUCUCUUCAGCAGAGUUUUCUUAUCAAUUGAUAAUUUUGUCCUAAAGGGACAAGAAUCCUACAGCUGUAUGGAUUGUACGUAUUGUUUUGCUUCAACCUUAAUUAUAAUGUUUUCCCAUGCUGUCUGUCUGUCCAGGUGUUGUUCUUCAACCUGCUAGAUUCUUCUUAGGAGAAUGCAGUGCAAGUGCUCGACUUCAGCUUUAAUUGCCACGGCAUCCAUCUCAAAGAAGGCUCUCCUUCAAAGAUGGCGACCUCCAAGAAACACAUGGUCAGCCCCAGGACAAGACAGAGCCAGGCUACCUCACCCCACUGAGCCUCCUUGGUUUCAGAGAACUCGAUUUCAAUAACUGACCAUUUGGGCCACGUGCCUUUUCUUUUCUCACCUUUUUUUGAAAUUCACCAAUAGUGAGCGAGCCCCUGAACCCUAGGCCCCUACCCUCCACCCUAGUAAAAGCAGAACCUCUGGCCUGUG
This is a long non-coding RNA of Leopardus geoffroyi (Geoffroy's cat), 1355 nucleotides long. RefSeq lists it as uncharacterized. The transcript is spliced from 2 exons. NCBI's taxonomy places the organism in Eukaryota, Metazoa, Chordata, Mammalia, Carnivora, Felidae. The record is from RefSeq and is a predicted model, not a curated record.